Molecule: non-coding RNA, 931 nt
Organism: Hydra vulgaris (swiftwater hydra)
Lineage: Eukaryota; Metazoa; Cnidaria; Hydrozoa; Anthoathecata; Hydridae
Source: RefSeq, a predicted model, not a curated record
UUUACCCUACAAUAUAUUUAUAAAUUGAAUUAUAAUAUAAAAUUUUAGGCUCAUGGAGGAAAGUAUGCUUGUGCAUGGUGUGAAGGUUCUUCAGAAUUAUUUUCUGGAGAGUUAAGAACAUUUCAAUCUUUGAAUAAUUACUAUGAACUGUAUUCAUCUGCAGGAUCUCCGGUGAAAAGAAUGAAAGAAUAUAAGAAUGUCAUUAAUCCUUGUCUGCUUAAGAUAGAAGACAAAUCUCUAAGUAUAAUAAGAGAGAUUCCAUUACUAGAACUUCACCUUCUGAUGGGAUUUGUUAACCAUGUGGCAGAAUUUAUAAUGCAACUUUGGCCUGGAUUUAUAGAUUGGGUCAAGAGCAUUUGAUGCCUUCGAAAAGGUUACCAUGGAGGAACAUUUGAAGGAAACACGUGUAGAGAGAUACUUAAAAGUUGCGACACACUUGAGUUGAUAAUUCCUGUUGAACUGUAUCCUCUCUUAGAAACAAUGAGAAAAUUUAAUAAGGUUGUUCAUGGUGUCUUUAGCUAUAAACUUGACCCAAACUAUUCAAUUUUAAUUGAAAGUUUUACACAAAGCUAUAAGGAUGCACAAGACUAUUGCAGAGAGGUAAACAGCUCACGGUUACUUGGAAAGUACAUGCUGUAACAGCACAUCUGGAAACAUUUGUUGAUUUGAGUGGCCUUUCUCUUGGGCAGUUUAAUGAGCAGACAUCUGAAUCUUGCCAUUCCAAGAUGAAAAGUGUAAUAAACAGGUUUGGAGUCUCGCAGUACAGCAACAAACAUAAAGAAAGAAGCAAAAGAAUUGCUGAAGUGUUCAGUUCAAAUAAUUUAUAAGUUAUUGAACAUUAAUUGUACAUCAAAACAUAAACAUUAUUGAAAUCUUAAAGUUAAAAAAAUUUGUAAAUUUAUUCAAAAAGACACUAAAAAUACAUUAGUAU